This 437-nucleotide ribosomal RNA is filed under the name uncultured bacterium. RNAcentral describes it as "bacterial SSU rRNA". It matches the Rfam family "Bacterial small subunit ribosomal RNA", at positions 9 to 451 of the family's 1533-position model. The record is from RNAcentral.
GAGUUUGAUCAUGGCUCAGAUUGAACGCUGGCGGCAGGCCUAACACAUGCAAGUCGGGCGGUAGAGAGAAGCUUGCUUCUCUUGAGAGCGGCGGACGGGUGAGUAAUGCCUAGGAAUCUGCCUGGUAGUGGGGGAUAACGCUCGGAAACGGACGCUAAUACCGCAUACGUCCUACGGGAGAAAGCAGGGGACCUUCGGGCCUUGCGCUAUCAGAUGAGCCUAGGUCGGAUUAGCUAGUUGGUGAGGUAAUGGCUCACCAAGGCGACGAUCCGUAACUGGUCUGAGAGGAUGAUCAGUCACACUGGAACUGAGACACGGUCCAGACUCCUACGGGAGGCAGCAGUGGGGAAUAUUGGACAAUGGGCGAAAGCCUGACGCAGCAACGCCGCGUGGGGGAUGAAUGCCUUCGGUUGUAACCCUUUCAGCAGGAACGAAAU